UACAGAGGGUGCAAGCGUUAAUCGGAAUUACUGGGCGUAAAGCGCGCGUAGGUGGUUUGUUAAGUUGGAUGUGAAAGCCCCGGGCUCAACCUGGGAACUGCAUCCAAAACUGGCAAGCUAGAGUAUGGUAGAGGGUGGUGGAAUUUCCUGUGUAGCGGUGAAAUGCGUAGAUAUAGGAAGGAACACCAGUGGCGAAGGCGACCACCUGGACUGAUACUGACACUGAGGUGCGAAAGCGUGGGGAGCAAACAGG
RNAcentral lists this ribosomal RNA (253 nucleotides) under uncultured bacterium. RNAcentral's name for it is "partial 16S ribosomal RNA". It matches the Rfam family "Bacterial small subunit ribosomal RNA", at positions 524 to 776 of the family's 1533-position model. The record is from RNAcentral.